UACAGAGGGUGCGAGCGUUGUUCGGAAUUACUGGGCGUAAAGGGCUCGUAGGUGGCCAACUAAGUCGGACGUGAAAUCCCUCAGCUUAACUGGGGAACUGCGUCCGAUACUGGAUGGCUUGAGUUUGGGAGAGGGAUGCGGAAUUCCAGGUGUAGCGGUGAAAUGCGUAGAUAUCUGGAGGAACACCGGUGGCGAAGGCGGCAUCCUGGACCAACACUGACACUGAGGAGCGAAAGCCAGGGGAGCAAACGGG
Molecule: ribosomal RNA, 253 nt
Filed under: uncultured bacterium
Lineage: Bacteria
Description: partial 16S ribosomal RNA
Rfam family: Bacterial small subunit ribosomal RNA
Source: RNAcentral